Molecule: long non-coding RNA, 1690 nt
Organism: Dama dama (fallow deer)
Lineage: Eukaryota; Metazoa; Chordata; Mammalia; Artiodactyla; Cervidae
Exons: 3
Source: RefSeq, a predicted model, not a curated record
AAAGACACAUGGAUCCCGGUCCUCCUCCUGGGGGGCUCCUCCCGCCGCCGCCGCCGCCGCCGCUGCUGCUCGGGUUCCUCCUCCCCGGCUCAGCCUCUCGCAUUUCCCGCAGCCCCGGGAGCAGCAGCAGCAGCAGCAGGCAUACACUCUAGGCCGGACACCCAAGGCACUCUGAGGAUUUUCAUCAGUUUUCACAACACAGUUCUAGUAUAAGUUUGAUUUCCAGAGCCUCUUCUGACUAAAUCAUCGUUUUUUGAAAUGAGGACUACAGUAAGAAUUUGAAUUCCUUCAGAGUUUGGUUCCUGCUGGCUUUUCCACGUUUAAUAAAUCUACAAUUUGAGACUGAGGAGACGCUGGCUUGGUAAAUACAAACUUUAAGUGUCUGACUUUGUACAUAGAAAUACAACAUGUACAUGACUAAUGAUAAAUGUAAGAAGUGAUAUAUUUAAUGCUUAUUAUUACUCAUGCUUUUUCAUUUUCUGUACAUUACAAACAUACUUUCAAAAAUUGGAUUAUCGAUCCAAAUGUUUAUCUUUGUUAAGUACUGCAUUGAGAAGAAUCAUUUCCAACUGUGUGUUUCAUAUGCACAAAAUUCUACAUCAGGGCAAUUUACUUCAGUAUACUUGUCAGCUCUGGAGAAAUUAAGGGUCAGAAAUGUGCAAAUUGCAAGUCACUCCUGCUGGAGACAAGUUUUAAAAGGAAACACCUAGGGAUUGGGAAGAGAAAAGUGGGUAGGAUAAAUGGAAGGGUAGAAACAGAGGCUGUGCUUCUAGAAAGACAGAAGAUGAUGAAGGUAAACGUUCGCUGCUGUGAGCAGACAGGUGACUGGGAGCUGUUUUAACAGGACUGAUGGGAGGCUCAUCAGCUUGAACUUAUUGAGGGCAGAGCAGGCAAAACAUAACCUGGGAUGCAGAAGAAGUAUUCAAGGAAUACUUAUUCAACAUAAAUAAAGGUCUUUCAAAGGUUUUUCCGUCUCUGUCAUCCAAAUUACACAGCUUUGAGACCACAAUGGCAAAGAUCCAGGAGGCAGGCAGCUGAGGUAGAUUCCUCAAAAUUAUAAAAUCAGAAAGUCAAUGAGCAUCUGGAAGGACCAAAUGCAAAAAAAAAAAAAAAAAUAGAAUGCCUUCUUUCUAAUAAGUAGACAUGUUAAAUAGGCACCUUAAAAAUACAGUAGGUAUGCAACAGUGUUAACAGCAAUUAACUCUAAAGGGCUGGACUUGCACUUCUUAUAUUUUUUCUAUAUCAGUCUUCCAGAGCAGAUGUAGUCUAAUCACAAAUAUAUAUUAGAUGUUCAAAAUGUGGAUGGGGAGUGAGGGUUGUUAUCUGCAAAAAAGACAAAGGAACAUCUCAUGAAACUCCAGUAAGCAAAGGAGAUUCUCAAAGAGUCUAACAUACAAAUGACGGAAUAAAAAUUCAUGAUACAGUACACUUUCUUACUAAUUGAAGGUCUAUAAAAUGUCAUUGAUAUGUCUUUCUUUAGAGAGCAGCCUUUAUCACUUUGUUUCAGUGAACAUAAAAGUAUUUAUGAGGCUUUCCCAUAGGUUCGCUACUAAAUGGUAUCUCUCUCUUUUUGUAUUCCCAUAGUCUUAAAUUCCUCAGUGUUUUAGGAACCAAACUUUUAUGAUUGUGUAAAAAGACCACUAAAAUGUAAAUUCUAGAUCUUAUAAAAUUUCUGUUCAUAUUUUUACUA